CUAAACUUUUUUAUUACAACAUUUAUUCUAAUCCAACGUUUCGGGGCAUGCCCCUUUCAUCCUUGAUGAAGGGGCAUGCCCCGAAACGUUGGAUUAGAAUAAAUGUUGUAAUAA
This 114-nucleotide microRNA precursor is filed under the name Paramuricea clavata. It matches the Rfam family "mir-240 microRNA precursor family". Lineage: Eukaryota; Metazoa; Cnidaria; Anthozoa; Malacalcyonacea; Plexauridae. The record is from RNAcentral.